UUUUAUUUAUUAUUAAUGUCAUCUGUGUGUUUUCCUCUGCAGGAUUAACUGUUAUGACGUGUUUGGAGCUCAGGCUCCAUUUGGAGGUUACAAAGCUUCAGGCAAUGGCAGAGAGCUAGGAGAAUACGGUCUUGACAACUACACAGAAAUAAAAACGGUGACCAUCAAGGUGCCACAGAAGAAUUCUUAGAUGUGCAUUGAGCCCAGGCAACAGUUGAUUGCUGUCAACCAAGAAUCAACUGAGUUACUGUGCUUUUCCUGUGAUCUGUGCAGUUAUUUUUACUGCUUUCUGUCACAUAUCCAUAAUGCAUACCUGUUGAAUCAAUCCCAUUAUAUUCAGCACUGUUUUUUGAACCGGCUAAAAAUUGACAUCUUUUAAUAAAAUAGCGGAUAGAGUUGUCCAACCUUUGAAUACAUUACUUACCAAUGAUCUCUCAAAUACCCAUAGCAGAAUAUAGAAAAUUUACAUUUUCCACCUGAUUUGAGGUAAUCGUAAAAACUAUAUAGUCACAGUCUCUGUUUGUAAUACGUGGACUUUAAGAUGUCUAAUUUUUCAUAAUAAAUGCAUUUGAGGCACUCAC
Molecule: long non-coding RNA, 581 nt
Organism: Morone saxatilis (striped sea-bass)
Lineage: Eukaryota; Metazoa; Chordata; Actinopteri; Moronidae
Exons: 2
Source: RefSeq, a predicted model, not a curated record